RNAcentral lists this ribosomal RNA (467 nucleotides) under uncultured bacterium. RNAcentral's name for it is "partial 16S ribosomal RNA". It matches the Rfam family "Bacterial small subunit ribosomal RNA", at positions 28 to 507 of the family's 1533-position model. The record is from RNAcentral.
GAUGAACGCUGGCGGCGCGCCUAACACAUGCAAGUCGAACGAUUAAAGCACCUUCGGGUGUGUAUAAAGUGGCGAACGGCUGAGUAACACGUGGGCAACCUGCCCCUUUCAUUGGGAUAGCCACGGGAAACCGUGGAUAAUACCGAAUACUUCGAGACUUCCGCAUGGAAGACUCGAGAAAGCUCCGGCGGAGAGGGAUGGGCCCGCGGCCUGUUAGCUUGUUGGUGGGGUAACGGCCUACCAAGGCAAUGAUGGGUAGCUGGGUUGAGAGACCGACCAGCCAGAUUGGGACUGAGACACGGCCCAGACUCCUACGGGUGGCAGCAGUGGGGAAUCUUGCACAAUGGGCGAAAGCCUGAUGCAGCGACGCCGCGUGCGGGAUGAAGGCCUUCGGGUUGUAAACCGCUUUCAGCAGGGACGAGGCGAAAGUGACGGUACCUGCAGAAGAAGCCCCGGCUAACUACGUG